This 460-nucleotide ribosomal RNA is filed under the name uncultured bacterium. Its description in RNAcentral is "partial 16S ribosomal RNA". It matches the Rfam family "Bacterial small subunit ribosomal RNA", at positions 338 to 795 of the family's 1533-position model. The record is from RNAcentral.
CCUACGGGAGGCAGCAGUGAGGAAUAUUGGUCAAUGGGCGGAAGCCUGAACCAGCCAAGCAGCGUGCAGGAUGACGGCCCUACGGGUUGUAAACUGCUUUUAUACGGGAAUAACGCGCCUUACGUGUAGGGCUUUGCAUGUACCGUAAGAAUAAGGACCGGCUAAUUCCGUGCCAGCAGCCGCGGUAAUAAGGAAGGUCCGGGCGUUAUCCGGAUUUAUUGGGUUUAAAGGGAGCGUAGGCCGCAUGUCAAGCGUGCUGUGAAAUGUCCGGGCUCAACCCGGGCCUUGCAGCGCGAACUGGCGAGCUUGAGUCCGCGGAAGGCAGGCGGAAUUCGUCGUGUAGCGGUGAAAUGCUUAGAUAUGACGAAGAACCCCGAUUGCGAAGGCAGCUUGCUGCAGCGGAACUGACGCUGAUGCUCGAAAGCGCGGGUAUCGAACAGGAUUAGAUACCCCUGUAGUC